This 911-nucleotide ribosomal RNA is filed under the name uncultured bacterium. RNAcentral's name for it is "bacterial SSU rRNA". It matches the Rfam family "Bacterial small subunit ribosomal RNA", at positions 33 to 938 of the family's 1533-position model. The record is from RNAcentral.
ACGCUAGCUACAGGCUUAACACAUGCAAGUCGAGGGCAGCGGGUUGAAAGCUUGCUUUCAAUGCCGGCGACCGGCGCACGGGUGCGUAACGCGUAUCAAACCUGCCUCAUACUCGGGGAUAGCCUUGCGAAAGUAAGAUUAAUACCCGAUGUUGUUGCUUUCUCGCAUGGGAGAGUAACCAAAGAUUUAUCGGUAUGAGAUGGUGAUGCGUCCGAUUAGGUAGUAGGCGGGGUAACGGCCCACCUAGCCUUCGAUCGGUAGGGGUUCUGAGAGGAAGGUCCCCCACACUGGAACUGAGACACGGUCCAGACUCCUACGGGAGGCAGCAGUGAGGAAUAUUGGUCAAUGGGCGAGAGCCUGAACCAGCCAAGUAGCGUGCAGGAUGACGGCCCUCCGGGUUGUAAACUGCUUUUAGUUGGGAAUAAAAAAAGGGACUUGUCCCUUCUUGUAUGUACCUUCAGAAAAAGGACCGGCUAAUUCCGUGCCAGCAGCCGCGGUAAUACGGAAGGUCCAGGCGUUAUCCGGAUUUAUUGGGUUUAAAGGGAGCGUAGGCGGAUUGUUAAGUCAGCGGUUAAAGGGUGUGGCUCAACCAUGCAUUGCCGUUGAAACUGGCGAUCUUGAGUGCAGACAGGGAUGCCGGAAUUCGUGGUGUAGCGGUGAAAUGCUUAGAUAUCACGAAGAACUCCGAUCGCGAAGGCAGGUGUCCGGGCUGCAACUGACGCUGAGGCUCGAAAGUGUGGGCAUCAAACAGGAUUAGAUACCCUGGUAGUCCACACAGUAAACGAUGUAUACUCGCGGUUUGCGAUAGAUUGUAAGCCGCCAAGCGAAAGCAUUAAGUAUACCACCUGGGGAGUACGCCGGCUACGGUGAAACUCAAAGGAAUUGACGGGGGCCCGCACAAGCGGAGGAAC